This 405-nucleotide long non-coding RNA is filed under the name Lathyrus oleraceus (garden pea). RNAcentral's name for it is "Pisum sativum (pea) long non-coding RNA (PSAT_LNC007298)". Lineage: Eukaryota; Viridiplantae; Streptophyta; Magnoliopsida; Fabales; Fabaceae. The record is from RNAcentral.
AGAAUCAUUAUGCAGGGACUUCUAAACCCAUUGAACAUAAUGAUCCAACGCCAUCUCCCAACCUUGAAUUCUUUGUAUUCGGAGCAGAGGAAGAUGAUGUUGAAGGGGGAUUCCUGAUGAGAUUACCCGCCUUUUGAGCACAAAGAGAAGCUCAUUCAGCUGUAUCAUGAGAAUCAGCAGAACAGUCAAACUGGGGCAUUACAAAUGUAAUGUAAAAAAAAAAAGAAAAAAAAAAGAAAAAAAAAAAAGAAAAGAGAAGAGGGUGAAAAGAUGAAAAAUUAGAAAAUCAGGAAAAUUUUUUCAAAUAUUUUCAAAAGGAAAAAGAAAAAGUAUACCCUCAAAGUCCCUAGUUGACUGAUGCUGAAUGGAUUCAGAGUCGUUACGACCAAUUGAAUUUGAUCGAAG